This 343-nucleotide unclassified non-coding RNA is filed under the name soil metagenome. RNAcentral's name for it is "partial contains 5.8S ribosomal RNA, internal transcribed spacer 2, and large subunit ribosomal RNA". The stretch from base 1 to 120 matches the Rfam family "5.8S ribosomal RNA", at positions 35 to 154 of the family's 154-position model. The record is from RNAcentral.
GAUGAAGAACGCAGUGAAAUGCGAUAAGUAAUGUGAAUUGCAGAAUUCAGUGAACCAUCGAAUCUUUGAACGCACAUUGCGCCCGCCAGCAUUCUGGCGGGCAUGCCUGUUCGAGCGUCAUUUCAACCCUCGACCUCCCCUUGGGGAGGUCGGCGUUGGGGACCGGCAGCACACCGCCGGCCCUGAAAUGGAGUGGCGGCCCGUCCGCGGCGACCUCUGCGCAGUAAUACAGCUCGCACCGGGACCCCGACGCGGCCACGCCGUAAAACACCCAACUUCUGAACGUUGACCUCGAAUCAGGUAGGACUACCCGCUGAACUUAAGCAUAUCAAUAAGCGGAGGA